CACGCUAACGGCCGGCUGGCCGUAGCUAAUUACUCAUUAGCCCAUAUGUUAAUAACUAGCACCAAAUUAGAGAAUCCCAAAGCCAGUAGGCAAAAGCCCAUGUCGAUCGUGGCUGGCUUAUUUUGAUCGAUGAAUCAAUCAGAUCGUGACCUGUGUAUGUGUAUGUUCUGCACUUUCACCGGCUAGAUAUAGUAACUUCGGUUUAGACUUGAUAGUCUCCGUCAUCCUAGAGCAUAGUAGCAGCUGUUUCUAGUAACCUAACGAUUGAGCACGUGGUGUAGCGGCACAGCAUUGGUCUUCAACAGUGUGUUUGUAGCGUGUCUCUUCCACGACACAUUGAUCGUUGGAGUCUUCGAACCUAGCGUCACAACUCAUGCGAGUGAACCCUAAACUUAAGGUAUAUCAUUACAAAUUAAUAUUGUUGUUAGACUUUUAAAGAGUGUUGGUUAGUAUUUUUGUUAGAUCUACUUAAAUGUGCUUGCAAGUGCUUGAAUGAAUCCAUCAUUCUUUACAGGAUCAAAAUUUCUUGAAUAUUCAUCUUCAGGAGAAAGUUUAGGGCAUAUAUAGCGGGCUACUUCUAUAGAAGGAGGUACAACUGCGUGAAUAAUGUUGGCCUAUAAAGCAGUAGGUAAUUUAAGUUACAUAAUCUGCAAUGUAAUUUUGAAACUCAUGUUGAAAAGAUAUUGUAUUCACUAUUCAGAUUAGUAUUAUUGUCAAGCAUGUAUACAAAUCAAACUCGCUAGAAAACGCACUUGUCAACAUUUAAUACAGCCAACUGAUUUAGCUUUGUGCAAAUUAUUUUCUAUCAACUUCCAGUAUUUCUGGAUUUUUUUGAUCUCUACAUUUCUAUGCACUGUUUUGGUAACUACAGAUCUGUGUUUGCAAUGAAGCAUGCUCUGUUUGUCGGCGCACAUAUUUUUUAGGCAUGUACCUCCCUGUAUCUUCAUUAUGUUCUUUAUAAGGUGUUUAUUAACUCAAUUUACAUAUGAAUGGUCUAUUCAUAAGGCUCUCUUUUCUUUGUCAAUAAAGUUGAGUGUUAUAGCUAGGACUGUAAAGAAGUGUUCCAAUUAUGAUAUAUUAAAGCCCUUUAGAGGUCGACGCAUGCUGGAUGAUGCAACGAUUAUUUUGGUGCUUGCUUUGACUUAGGUGUUCAGAGAAGUAAAACUUCAACUAACGUGUUUAGUGAGCAUCAAACAUCCAUCUCAAGAUAAGGUAUGCUCAUUUCUCUACUAUUUGGAAUUCAACCUGGCUGAGGAACAAUUUAUUAUUGAUCAUUGUUUUUGCAAUACGAAUGCUUAUUGUAGUUCCUGCUUGGCUUGGGAAAUCUAAACAAGAAUGUUGCUCUUGCUACACUCCAAAGUACCGACCUAGAAUGUAAAACAAAAAUUGAGGGUGUCAAACUUGGUAAUUGAUUCUUGAUUGACAGGACCAAUAACAAAACUGUUGGUCAUAUAGCAAGAUUAACUUUCACAUGACCUUGAACCUUUGUAUGUUGCUCUUUGUUUAAAUUUUACUGCCCUAUUAACUUGAUUUUCUUUGAUGGCACCUUACUUUUCUCAUUUCUUUGUUGUUGUAGAUUGCAAGAUAAAUCGAUGAUGCGUUGCUCAGGAGUUGAUUGCAAGAUCAACGAGGCGGCUACUACUAGAUAGUUGUAGAUUAGAUUUUAGAAUGUCAUUCGGGUCAAUGUUCCAAACAUUAUGUUUUAGAUGGCUGACAUGUUGAUUGCAAGGUUGAGAAUCAGACUACUACUAGAUAGCUUCACAUAUUGUAAUCCUUGUAUAAUGUUCUUUGUAAAGCCACUGAGUUGAAUUAAUAUAUGUGACCUUUUUAAUUAUUAUGUUUG
This 1843-nucleotide long non-coding RNA is filed under the name Triticum aestivum (bread wheat). Its description in RNAcentral is "long non-coding RNA (TAES_LNC001595)". Lineage: Eukaryota; Viridiplantae; Streptophyta; Magnoliopsida; Poales; Poaceae. The record is from RNAcentral.